Molecule: ribosomal RNA, 496 nt
Filed under: uncultured bacterium
Lineage: Bacteria
Description: partial 16S ribosomal RNA
Rfam family: Bacterial small subunit ribosomal RNA
Source: RNAcentral
AUGAACGCUGGCGGCGUGCCUAAUACAUGCAAGUCGAGCGAACGGACGAGAAGCUUGCUUCUCUGAUGUUAGCGGCGGACGGGUGAGUAACACGUGGAUAACCUACCUAUAAGACUGGGAUAACUUCGGGAAACCGGAGCUAAUACCGGAUAAUAUUUUGAACCGCAUGGUUCAAAAGUGAAAGACGGUCUUGCUGUCACUAAUAGAUGGAUCCGCGCUGCAUUAGCUAGUUGGUAAGGUAACGGCUUACCAAGGCAACGAUGCAUAGCCGACCUGAGAGGGUGAUCGGCCACACUGGAACUGAGACACGGUCCAGACUCCUACGGGAGGCAGCAGUAGGGAAUCUUCCGCAAUGGGCGAAAGCCUGACGGAGCAACGCCGCGUGAGUGAUGAAGGUCUUCGGAUCGUAAAACUCUGUUAUUAGGGAAGAACAUAUGUGUAAGUAACUGUGCACAUCUUGACGGUACCUAAUCAGAAAGCCACGGCUAACUACGUG